Ribosomal RNA from Danio rerio (zebrafish), 115 nucleotides. NCBI's taxonomy places the organism in Eukaryota, Metazoa, Chordata, Actinopteri, Cypriniformes, Danionidae. The record is from Ensembl.
UCAGGCAGCAAGCUUUCUGCAACUCUCACACGUUUGCCCACUGAAGCUAAGCAGGGCUGUGUCCAGUCAGUACCUGGAUGGGAGACCAGUUGGGAAAGCUAGCAUGCUGCUGGAC